GACGAACGCUGGCGGCGUGCUUAACACAUGCAAGUCGAACGAUGAACCAGGAGCUUGCUCUUGGGGAUUAGUGGCGAACGGGUGAGUAACACGUGAGUAACCUGCCCUUGACUCUGGGAUAAGCGUUGGAAACGACGUCUAAUACCGGAUACGAGCUUCAGCCGCAUGGCUAGGAGCUGGAAAGAAUUUCGGUCAAGGAUGGACUCGCGGCCUAUCAGCUUGUUGGUGAGGUAAUGGCUCGCCAAGGCGACGACGGGUAGCCGGCCUGAGAGGGUGACCGGCCACACUGGAACUGAGACACGGUCCAGACUCCUACGGGAGGCAG
Molecule: ribosomal RNA, 325 nt
Filed under: uncultured Actinomycetes bacterium
Lineage: Bacteria; Bacillati; Actinomycetota; Actinomycetes
Description: bacterial SSU rRNA
Rfam family: Bacterial small subunit ribosomal RNA
Source: RNAcentral